GAUGAACGCUGGCGGCGUGCCUAAUACAUGCAAGUCGAGCGAACAGACGAGGAGCUUGCUCCUCUGACGUUAGCGGCGGACGGGUGAGUAACACGUGGAUAACCUACCUAUAAGACUGGGAUAACUUCGGGAAACCGGAGCUAAUACCGGAUAAUAUAUUGAACCGCAUGGUUCAAUAGUGAAAGACGGUUUUGCUGUCACUUAUAGAUGGAUCCGCGCCGCAUUAGCUAGUUGGUAAGGUAACGGCUUACCAAGGCGACGAUGCGUAGCCGACCUGAGAGGGUGAUCGGCCACACUGGAACUGAGACACGGUCCAGACUCCUACGGGAGGCAGCAGUAGGGAAGCUGCCGCAAUGGGCGAAAGCCUGACGGAGCAACGCCGCGUGAGUGAUGAAGGUCUUCGGAUCGUAAAACUCUGUUAUUAGGGAAGAACAAAUGUGUAAGUAACUAUGCACGUCUUGACGGUACCUAAUCAGAAAGCCACGGCUAACUACGUG
RNAcentral lists this ribosomal RNA (497 nucleotides) under uncultured bacterium. RNAcentral's name for it is "partial 16S ribosomal RNA". It matches the Rfam family "Bacterial small subunit ribosomal RNA", at positions 28 to 507 of the family's 1533-position model. The record is from RNAcentral.